CUUAAGAUCCAACCAGCUCAACUGGUAUCAAGGGAACAAUUGGCUAUGCUCCUCCAGGUGUGAAGGAGCUUGAGGCUAAAUGGAUUGGACGGGUUGGUUUUUAUGUACCAUAUGAAAUGGCAGCAAUCACUUACUAAAGCACUAGCAGAAAAGGUGUUUUUGAACUUGUUGUACAUUUAUGGAAUGUGUGGUGUAGUGAAUGAUUGCUUGCUUCAGUGGUACUUCAGCAAUGAAAACUUCUUGCACUAAGGGCUGCAAAAUUGUUCCAACUCAUCUAUACAGACCAUGGGGACCAAUUGAUGCACAGGGAGCAGGGACGAGUAUUAGUUGAUUCAGAUAGGUGAGGGUAAACGGGCAAAUGCUCUGUUAUGGCUAACCAGAUCAGAAAUCUCCAUUUUACACAUUACAAAUGCAAACAGAAUGUAAACAAAUUCCUUUUCAAGUGGGACAUCCAUUGCUUGACAAAUUAGCCGGACUGACAGCUAUCUCUGUUGGUGCAAAUUAGCCGGACUGUCCAAAUCAUCUGACCAUGAAGCCAAAUAUCCAUGGUGGGGCAAAUCAGAUGGAUUAUCGCAUCAUCUUACUAUAAAGCCAUGUUCCUAACAGUCAAGACUUUCUACAUAAUUAAUUCAGAAGAAUUUUAAUAUUUUAUUGCUAGGCAAUGUGCUAGAAUUAUCAUUCUAUCAAAGUCUACAAAUCAUUCCAAUUUUGGCACUCUAAAC
Long non-coding RNA from Magnolia sinica, 722 nucleotides. RefSeq lists it as uncharacterized. The record is from RefSeq and is a predicted model, not a curated record. The transcript is spliced from 4 exons. NCBI's taxonomy places the organism in Eukaryota, Viridiplantae, Streptophyta, Magnoliopsida, Magnoliales, Magnoliaceae.